UCUAAGCAGCCUCAGAUGAGCUGACAUACUCUGGGCUCUGGUCUCCCCAUCUAAAGAGAUGCUUCGUACCUGAGUGCCUGGACACUUCAGUUCUUCAUGAGAACUGCUUCUGGAGGCAGCGCAGUCCAGCCUGUCCUGUGCCCCUGCAGCAGCCAAGUUAACUGCAAUGAGAACAGACAUCCACGAAUGUCUCUAUUUUCACUGCAGCUCAUUUCCCAUCACACUGGCAGAGACAGAAUGUUUUGCUGUUGGCAACCUUGGAGCUGCAGUGAUGCCCAUCCUCACUGUGUGCCUACAGAGUGGGAGAAAGGAAAAAAAUUAAUCCCUUUUGACAGAAGGGUGUCAGGGACUGGGAAUCAACCAAACUCCAAAUGCUGGGAAAAGUAUCCUCCUUACACUGUUAUUACUGCUGUUGCUCAGGACAUUGGUUGGUUGUAACAUUUCCAAUAACUGGUGUACACAGGGUGCAGCAAGGCCAGAAUCCCUCCAGAAGCAGAAUCCUCUCUUGUACAUAAACAACUCAAGCUCACAUCAAAUUUUGAAUUACUGGGAUGGUUAAAUAGACUUUAAAAUCCUGCCUCUGCUUGCCACACUUCAUCUACCUGAACCAGAGCCAGUAGCCAGAGCCUAUGCUCAUGCAGCUGAAACCCCUGGGUAUUGCUGUGGACAUCACCAGGCAUCAGGUAAAAAUGUGGAGGGGGAAGACAACCAUAAUCCAAUUUCCGGAGGAGUCUCUGGGGAGAUUAUUGACAAUGACUGGAAUAUAAAGGGUGGGAAUGAAGAUGAAUACUAGCAUGAUUUUUGCUCCCUUCAUUUUUUGCCUGAUCAGUCCAAGGUCACUGCUAGCACAAAUGAGAGCAGCCUGGAGGCUUCUGUAAACCACAUCAGUUGGCAAAACCUUAGAACAAAAAGGUAUGAGGAGAGAGGGAGCACUUCUAAUGAUGAAAACGAGCAUAUGUCUCAGGACAUUUGGAAACAUUCUUAAAAACAAGAAUAACAUUAAUUUGUAAUAACAGACUAUCUUCAAAAUUCCUAUACUCCAGAAAUACUGGCAUUUCAAUGAUACGUGAAAGUAAAUGAAAUAGUGUUGCAUAAGAAACUCCCUCAUUUUUUUAA
Strigops habroptila (Kakapo) is the source of this 1116-nucleotide long non-coding RNA. RefSeq lists it as uncharacterized. NCBI's taxonomy places the organism in Eukaryota, Metazoa, Chordata, Aves, Psittaciformes, Psittacidae. The transcript is spliced from 3 exons. The record is from RefSeq and is a predicted model, not a curated record.